Medicago truncatula (barrel medic) is the source of this 1762-nucleotide long non-coding RNA. RefSeq lists it as uncharacterized. The transcript is spliced from 7 exons. Lineage: Eukaryota; Viridiplantae; Streptophyta; Magnoliopsida; Fabales; Fabaceae. The record is from RefSeq and is a predicted model, not a curated record.
CCUCUUCUCCUCAACACAUUAUCUUCCUCUUCUUUUCUUCUUCCUCUUCACAACCCCAAAAUCUUUGUGGGUUUUGAUUUCCAAUUUCAGCUCACAAAAUCAAUGUUACAAUUCGUUUUUCAUUUUCGAAUAAAUUCUUACAUGGUUUUAUGAUUUCAAUCUCUUCUAAUUUUGGUUCUGAUUCUGUGAAAAAUUGUUGAAUCCAAUGGUUUUCUUGUUGAAUCCUAUUGCACAGGUUGCUAAUCGUUCAUGACAAUGUGUUUUGUGGUAGAGAGGGUUUUCUGUUUCUAGAAGCUUCUAUCAGAGUUUUUGUUGACAGUGUUGAAAUUAGAAAGGGGAUCAUAGUGGAGUUAAUGAAGGGAGAUAGGGUCUUGCUUGCUUGGCCAUCCAACACAGUCUGAGCCUCAUUAACACAUGGUUAUAAACUGGCUGCAAUUUGUACUACAGUUGAUUACAAUACACACCCUCCUGAUAAAAUUUAUAGCAAUUUCAUUGAUGCACUUCCUGUAGAGGUUAAGACUGAACAAUGGCAGGAUUCGGUGGUUACGGAGGUGGUGACGGUGCCGGAAGUGGAACGAAGGUUUUGAAUGGUGGCUUUGACAAGGUCGGUGGUGGAGUGGUGUGAUUCGCCGUAAAUUCGAACGUUUGUAUGAAGAUCAUGGUGUGAUUAAGCAUGAACUCAUCAACUGUUGAUGACCAAUUUCUAUUUGAGCAAUUAUUAUAAAUAUGAUACUGCAUCUUUUGGUGGAUUAGAGGAGGGGUCACCGUGGUGCACAUCGGCCAUGACAGGAACCUUCGACAUUGAUUAUGAAUGGUAGUGUCUUCCUCUUAUUUGGAGUUAUCUUUUUGACUGGUUGGUCUCAAGCAAUUAUGCGGUGAAAAACCAUGUUAACUGAAGAAGCUUGGUUCUGGAGCUUCUGUAGAUCGCGAGGAAACCAUCCACAAACACACGUUUGGUGACGGAAAUACGCUACCAAACAGAUACGUCCUCUAAGAAAUACGCUUUCAGCCUUAAAAUUUUGAUUAAACUACCUUUGUAUGUUGUGUUAGUUUUAACUUUUAAAGAAUGUAAUUGUAGACUUAAGUUUCAUUCAUGCAAUCUUUGUGUGGUUGGCUUCUACAGGUUGCAAAUGUGAAGCUAUACAUAUGAGAGUUGUUGUCAAAGGGUUCAGCUGAAGUUGUCUACAAUAGAAGAAGUGAUGCAUUUACUGCUCUUAAACGAUAUAACAAUGUGCUUUUGGAUGGAAAGCCCAUGAAGAUUGAGAUUGUUGGAACAAAUUCAGAAUUGCCUGUAACUGCACGAGCGAAUGUCUCUGCAAUGAAUAGGCAGAGGAAGAGGACUUUUGUAAUGACAAUUAAUUAGUUUGGUGAGCAUCAGUAUCUCUUAUAUGGUCUUUAAAUUGGGUUCUCAUGGUAAUGUGGUGGUGCUAUCAAGUUGUGUUGUCUUCAAGUCAUCCAAAGGUGUUGGUUGAGAUUUUGGUGAUGUAUCAAGGUACUGCUCUGCAUCUGCGUUUGGGGUAGCAGAGUUUGUGGUUACUAUUGGAUUGAUUUGUAGUGUUACAAGGUUGGAUUGCUUGCAAUCUGUCCAAUUUUUUUUCAGCUUCUAGCUUAGCUUUGGUUCUAGUUAUGAAGACCGAAAAAUGUCGUGUUUUUUACUCUACCUUUGUUGCUUAGUUUUUGGAUCUACUGCAGGAGGAUGUUCUUCAAAUUCAUUUUUGUUGUAUCUUCCUUUCUACUUAAUGUAUUAUUACAUUUGUGUUUA